RNAcentral lists this ribosomal RNA (491 nucleotides) under uncultured bacterium. RNAcentral's name for it is "partial 16S ribosomal RNA". It matches the Rfam family "Bacterial small subunit ribosomal RNA", at positions 29 to 507 of the family's 1533-position model. The record is from RNAcentral.
AGUGAACGCUGGCGGUAGGCCUAACACAUGCAAGUCGAACGGCAGCACAGUAAGAGCUUGCUCUUACGGGUGGCGAGUGGCGGACGGGUGAGGAAUACAUCGGAAUCUACUUUUUCGUGGGGGAUAACGUAGGGAAACUUACGCUAAUACCGCAUACGACCUACGGGUGAAAGCAGGGGAUCUUCGGACCUUGCGCGAUUGAAUGAGCCGAUGUCGGAUUAGCUAGUUGGCGGGGUAAAGGCCCACCAAGGCGACGAUCCGUAGCUGGUCUGAGAGGAUGAUCGGCCACACUGGAAUUGAGAAACGUCCCAAACCCUUAGGGGAGGCAGAGGUGGGAAUAUUGGACAAUGGGCGCAAGCCUGAUCCAGCCAUACCGCGUGGGUGAAGAAGGCCUUCGGGUUGUAAAGCCCUUUUGUUGGGAAAGAAAAGCAGCAGGUUAAUACCCCGCUGUUCUGACGGUACCCAAAGAAUAAGCACCGGCUAACUUCGUG